This 5585-nucleotide long non-coding RNA is filed under the name Durio zibethinus. Its description in RNAcentral is "long non-coding RNA (DZIB_LNC000217)". Lineage: Eukaryota; Viridiplantae; Streptophyta; Magnoliopsida; Malvales; Malvaceae. The record is from RNAcentral.
UUCGGCAAAAAGCAUAAAGAAAAAUCAGAAUCACACAAUUAAAAGUGAGAUGACAUGAAGAACAGCAAGCAGGAGCUGUGAAAUGAAAGCAACCUAGUUGUAGAGAUCAGGAUUUGCCAAGAGGUAAGCUUCAACAGCCUUGUACAUUCCGGAGGCCCUUUCUUUGCCAGCCUUAAUUUGCUCUUCAUUCAUCUCAAUGUCACCAAUGGUAUAAUACUUGCUGGUGCUCUUGCAAAUUGAUCCUCCAUCUGGUGCUGCCACAAACUUGGUCUCAUAACUGAUUUUCUCAAGUGUGUUCAUCAAAGCAUCUCCUUCGAUCACACUGUAACUGUAUGAGAAGUUCUCCUUGUCUAUUCCUUCAACCUUUUGUUUCACAUACUUGAAUUGGCUGCCUACAUUUGUUACCAAGCAAAAAACUUACAUGCUAUUUUAUUUCUCAAAAUUAGAAAAUGGAAAGGAAUUUCAAGUGGCAAGAAAUGGAAACUAACCUUCACCAAAAGUAAUCUUCUUGAUACUUCCGGGCCCACCAUCUCCGUUAACAAGCUCAGAGCUCUUGAUUGCAUGUGGCACAACCUUGGGGAAAAGGUUGUCACCGUCAAGAACAAAGGCCUUGAACAUCUUGGCUGGGGGGACUGAGGUAGCAACCUCCAUUUCAUAAGUGACAACACCCAUGAUUCUACACUAGGAGUUUGAAAAUGUUCAAAUUUGAGAAGAUGAAACAAAGAGAAAAAGAGGAAGAAUAACUGAGUUUUUGAGUUGUGGGAAGAAGUGAGAACUAAGAUGUAUUUAUAGUUGCUAUUACCUUCAAAGAAUUUGCAGUGGUCAAAAGAAGCACCCUGCAUGAAAUUUUCCAUAGUAAAUGGCCAAUUGAUCAUUUUAAAAUGUUGUACCAACCUAUAGAAGAAAAAAAAAAAAACAUUUUAUUAAUGCCUGGUGCCAUGCGGCCUUUUGGCAUGUAAACAGACUGCAAAAUUUCAAUAUAAUAACAGCAAAGUGGAUAUCAGAGGGCAGCAACAAUUUGACAAAAUUAAGUUGUGAAGAUGAAGGCACCUUUCGUUGACUAACUAUUUCAUUAUCAUAAGUGAGAAAAUAAAGACCAAAAGAUAUAAAUAAAUAAAUAUAUAUAUAUAUAUAUAUAUUUAUCAAAUUAAAGCUUGAGAAGACUUGGUGGACUAUCUAGAAAGCAAGUACUGAAAGAGGUAAUAGGUAUAUGGAAUCCUUGUAUGACUUUUUAAAAAUAUACAAAAAUAAAAUAAAAUUUAUUUUUUUAUUUUUAUCUUGCACAUUUAAAUAAAUUUUUAUAAAUAUAUCUUUUUAAAUAUAAAUAUAUUAAUUUUAAUAAAUCCAAAAUAAAAUUUAUAUUAUUAAAUAAAAAAUUAAUUUAUUAAAUAUAUAUAAGAUACAAAUAUAAGGUCAAUAUUAUAUUACUUAUUUAUGUAUCCAUGCUUAAUAAAAAAUUUUAAAUCAUAUGCAUUUUUAUUCCCUCUUUAAAAUUUAAUUUCCAUCCCAUCUCAUUACCAUAAAAAAUCUGAUUCCUCAUCAAAUUUAACUAAGAUUGACAUCCCUUUACCUCCAAUUAAGUUUUAAACCUUAGAACUUAACUGUUGGGUACUUGGAACAUCUUGAUUACGACCAUUUCUCAUUGGUUGGAUGAAUUAUGGCUGUUUUUUAUAUAAUUGGGUUUUCUGCAACAUGAGCCACAAGUGAACUGCUAGACGACCCUGCUUUGAAACUUCUCUUCAUCUACGUGUUUGACAAUUCUUAGAGUUUGAAAUUUUCCCAAUGUUAUAUCAUUUCAUCAAAAAAAUAAAAUAAAAUUUUUCUAUACUAUCUGAUGUCACUAUUGACGAGAGAUUUAUCACACUUGAAACCAUAUAAACAUAUAUCAAAAACUUUAUAUAUAUAUGUUAGAUAUUAUUUGAAUCCAAAAACUUAAACUAUUGAGUUUUUAGAUCUUUUAUAUAUAUAUAUAUAUAUAAUAUCUCAUUUAUAUUUUUUAGUAAUGUUGAAUUUUUUACUUACAUAUGAACCAUCCAAUAAUCUUUCUCAUUCACUUGUAAGCUUUCAUCAAAUCCCACAUCGAUUUUUCGUGCGAGUAAAUCCUAUCAAUACUUUUUUUGAACCAAAAAACCUCACAUCUCUAGUGUAUUUUUAGGGCAGAUCAUAUACUCAACCUUGUAGUCUAGGUUAUCUUAGUACCCCUCAAGUUUGCACUCGAUGUUGAUUCAAUACAUUGCCGAGUUUCACUUUUGCACACUCACUACAUUCAGUCAAACCUUUUUACAUUGAUGCCGGCAUUUGAGCGUAUAAAAUUGAUGGACGCGAUUAACUUCCGAUUUGUCAACAAUCUUUUCAUUUAGUAAUACUACUUAAAUUCGAAUUCGUGACCUUGGCUCUAAUAGCACUUAUUGGGCAUAGGGAUGACAAGCUCGUUUCGAACCCGAUCCGACUUUAUAUUCACAAAUCCCAAACUCGAUUCAACCCAAAAGUUUUUUUAUUUUUUUCAUACUCAAAUCCGAUCCAAUAUUAUAUAAAUUGUAUCCAACUCAACCUGACCUUAAAUUAAUAAAAUAUUAUUUUUUUAAUAUAAAAAUAUUAUUUUUUAAUAUAAAUAUAAAAUUAUAUAAAUAUAUAUAAAUAAAAAAUUAAAUAAUUAAUUAAAAAAUAAUUUAUAUAUAUCGAAUCGGGUGUGAUCGGAUUUGCCUAAAAUUCAACCUUGAUCCGAAACUCGAUUUUCAAAAAAAAAAAUAAUGUUAUGAGAUCGAAUCAAAUCGGAAUCCAUCGAGAGAGUAGUUGGAUUGUCAACUCUAGUUGAGCUUAAAUCGAUAAAUACAAUAACGUAAAAAUAAUAUAUAAUAAUAAACUUAUAAUAAUAAUUAAUAAUUAAUAACGUAAAAGAAAUAAAGCACAUAAAAAACAAGAAGUUUUUACCCAGUACAUAGCGUGUUCAUAUGGUUUUUGCUUAGGCUUGUGUUGUAUUCAAGAAUGGCUGCCACAGGUCAAUUGGCCUUUCUCUGUUCGUAGAGUAUAAUAUUUUGUCAACAAAUUGUACCUAAUGCCGCAAACAAUGUUAGGCAAAAAAUGAUUAGAACGCCCCUUCAAAGUUGACUUACUCUUAAUGCUGCUGGCUUCCUGAUUUUUACGUUCUUUUUCUUUCAAUAUCAUGCAUCCUAGCAAGAGGCUUUAGUCUAACAAUUAGGCUGGAUGUUAGUCUGUGCGAUACGCUUCAAUCUGGCAACAAGUUACAUCUUUUAGCUAGCAGAGUUCAUCAGACAUGACCCAAUUUGUCCAAAUCUGAUUUUUUUUUUUUUUUGGGUGAGGGCAGGAGCAUAUGGUUAAAUGACCCUGGCAGCCAUGGCUGUUUGUUGGAGCUCAGGCUUGAUGGAUUUAAAAUUCCGAAAAAACUAGGUGUCUAUGUCUCACAAGCAGGUUGGAUGUCUAAUGAAGAAGAAUCAAUUAAGGAAUUUCUGGCAGAAAUAGUUUGGCUGCUUAGGUAUCUUUUCUGAAAAAAUUGAUCAUACCAUGUGUUCAGUAAUUUGGCAAAUCUUGAUAGAUGAAGAUAAAUGGAUAAUGCAGCAACUCAUUUGCAGUACAUUGCUUGAAUCCGUCACAGUUUCUAGUAAAUGCUCCUUAAUUCUCCUGGACCAACAAUGCAAAAAGUAAAAGGUAAAAAAAAAAAAAAAAAAACAAAAAGCAACUCCCUCACACAAGCACAAAUCCAUUCUACAUCUAAUUUAUGAUCAUUGAAGUGGAUCCAAUCUCAAUAUUGGGAUUUUCAGUAGGCGCCAGGAUUUGCCAGGAGGUAGGCUUCAACAGCCUUGAAUAAUUCCAAGGCCUUUUCUUUGCCUGCCUUGAUUCCCUCUUCUGUGAUCUCGAAGUCACCAAUGGUGUAAUAUUUACUAGUGAUAUUACAUAUGGAUCCCCCGGCAGGAGAUGGUUCCAACUUGACAUUGUUAAUCAACAGAUUAUUGGUUAAAUCAAUAGAUUAUUUGUGCCACUUUGUGAAUCCCAUCCUAUCUCACAUGUCAACAUGGUUAAAACGAUGAUCAUACAUGAAAGAUUUAGGCUCAAUUUGAUGCGUGUUCGGUCAUAAAAUAGCAUCCAUGACGCCAGGGAGUCCCUCCCACCAUGCAUCCAAAGGGGGUCUUUGGGUGUACUUGUUGAUAAUUGUUUGUUAUUUUCCUGGGAAUAAAACAUGUUGCAAGUUGCAAUAAAGCAACAAAAUAACAUGAAAUGGUUAGAAAUCAUGACAGUACAUGUCGCAAAAUUUAUCCGAGUGACAGCAUAGGGCCAGCUUUCAUCCUGUCGAGAUCCUGAUCAGCCAAAAUUGAUCAAUGUUUGUGUCAAAUUUGAACAUGGUUAUGUACCUAUGUUCAUGUAAGAUAAACAAAAACUGAAACUUUUGAGAAUGCUCCUUUUAUCCACAUUAAAUAUAUAUAAUUUUCUAAUUGCUCUUCAAUUAGGCCCCCUGUUUUUCCCAUAAUUCUCUCUUUGCCCCCACUUAAGUUUUUAUAACCUUGAACCCUUGAACUUCACUGUUGGGUACUUAGAACAUCUUGACCUUCAAUGCCCUUCGAAAAUAGAAUUGAUUGAUUAUUUUGCAGAGAAUUUUUAGGCGUGGAGAUGUGAACCUGAAGCUGCAGUAUUUAUAGAGUGAGAUCGAAGAACAGCUUUUCUAGGUGAUUUCUUCAUACUAUACUGGACGGUUUCAGUUUGGCAACGUAAUCAUUAGUUUUCACUAGACAAUUGAUUCAGGUUUGUGUAUUCUUCGAUCAAGAACAAAUUUAUGGAUCUUGAAAGCUGUCAAUAUCAGAAGAUUAAAAAGAAAGAACUCUAAUAUUUUAAGCAUGGAAGACCUUGAAUCAAGUGCGUGGACUGUUACGAACUCGCAACUAUGUUGACUAACUUAGAAAAGGGUUUUGAAGUUAGGUUCACUUGCAGCUUUUAGCCACAGGUGAACCAAAGACGCUGCUUCAUAGCAUAUUUCUCCUCAGUGUUAUAUGUAUAUAUUGUUUAUCAGGAGUUGUGGACUUAGUCUUACAGCCCAUAUCAAGUUAUUAGGGGGAAAUUUUAGGCAACGAAUGUCAAAUUCUUUAUGACUUUAGGUUCAUAUCUUGGAAAUAGGAGGGAUUUGGAUUUCAUCAUCACUCCUGGUUCACCUUAAAAAAUUUAUGACAGAAAAAAAAAAAAGAAAUUGCAAAUAAUAAAAGCUUGAUUGCUAUAUAUUUUUCAUUUCAUGUAUCAAAUAUAAUACAACUCAAACUCCUUAAUUAUAUAAUGAAAACACAGACGAUCACGGCCAGAGACCACCACUCUUAUUAGCCAUUGAAGGAAAGUUUGGCAAAAAGCAAAUAAGAAAAAUCAAAAUCACACCAUUAAAAGGGAUAUGAUAUGAAGAAUAGCAAGCAGGAGCUGCGAAAUGAAAGCAACCUAGUUGUAGAGAUCAGGAUUUGCCAAGAGGUAAGCUUCAACAGCCUUGUACAUUCCGGAGGCCCUUUCUUUGCCAGCCUUAAUUUGCUCUUCAUUGAUCUCAAUGUCACCAAUGGUAUAAUACUUGCUGGUGCUCUUGCAAAUUGAUCCUCCAU